This 450-nucleotide ribosomal RNA is filed under the name uncultured Glomeromycotina. RNAcentral describes it as "SSU rRNA". It matches the Rfam family "Eukaryotic small subunit ribosomal RNA", at positions 569 to 1024 of the family's 1831-position model. The record is from RNAcentral. Lineage: Eukaryota; Fungi; Glomeromycota.
AGCAGCCGCGGUAAUUCCAGCUCCAAUAGCGUAUAUUAAAGUUGCUGCAGUUAAAAAGCUCGUAGUUGAAUUUCGGGACCAUCAUGUCGGUCGUGCCUCGGUACGUACUGGCAUUGUUGGUUUCUCCCUUCUGACGAACCAUGAUGUCAUUUAUUUGGUGUCGUGGGAAAUCAGGACUGUUACUUUGAAAAAAUUAGAGUGUUUAAAGCAGGCUCACGCUUGAAUACAUUAGCAUGGAAUAAUGAAAUAGGACGUUUGAUUCUAUUUUGUUGGUUUCUAGGAUCAACGUAAUGAUUAAUAGGGAUAGUUGGGGGCAUUAGUAUUCAAUUGUCAGAGGUGAAAUUCUUGGAUUUAUUGAAGACUAACUACUGCGAAAGCAUUUGCCAAGGAUGUUUUCAUUAAUCAAGAACGAAAGUUAGGGGAUCGAAGACGAUCAGAUACCGUCGUAGU